RNAcentral lists this ribosomal RNA (160 nucleotides) under Xerocomellus sp. 'mendocinensis'. RNAcentral's name for it is "partial 28S ribosomal RNA". The record is from RNAcentral. Lineage: Eukaryota; Fungi; Basidiomycota; Agaricomycetes; Boletales; Boletaceae.
UUGACUUGGGACUCGGACUUCCGAGCGAAGCUUUAGCUACUAGUCGGUCGCGAGGCCGACGAACGCGAGGCAGGCCUUGGGGGUCGGGAGGGUCUCUCGUCUUCUCUGACGACUUGACCUCAAAUCAGGUAGGACUACCCGCUGAACUUAAGCAUAUCAU